This 449-nucleotide ribosomal RNA is filed under the name uncultured organism. RNAcentral describes it as "partial 16S ribosomal RNA". It matches the Rfam family "Bacterial small subunit ribosomal RNA", at positions 334 to 799 of the family's 1533-position model. The record is from RNAcentral.
CACUCCUGCGGGAGGCAGCAGUGGGGAAUAUUGGACAAUGGGCGCAAGCCUGAUCCAGCCAUGCCGCGUGAGUGGUGAAGGCCCUAGGGUUGUAAAGCUCUUUCACCGGUGAAGAUAAUGACGGUAACCGGAGAAGAAGCCCCGGCUAACUUCGUGCCAGCAGCCGCGGUAAUACGAAGGGGGCUAGCGUUGUUCGGAUUUACUGGGCGUAAAGCGCACGUAGGCGGACUAUUAAGUCAGGGGUGAAAUCCCGGGGCUCAACCCCGGAACUGCCUUUGAUACUGGUAGUCUUGAGUUCGAGAGAGGUGAGUGGAAUUCCGAGUGUAGAGGUGAAAUUCGUAGAUAUUCGGAGGAACACCAGUGGCGAAGGCGGCUCACUGGCUCGAUACUGACGCUGAGGUGCGAAAGCGUGGGGAGCAAACAGGAUUAGAAACCCUGGUAGUCCCAUG